Non-coding RNA from Lactuca sativa (garden lettuce), 701 nucleotides. The record is from RefSeq and is a predicted model, not a curated record. Lineage: Eukaryota; Viridiplantae; Streptophyta; Magnoliopsida; Asterales; Asteraceae.
CUUCCCGAUUCUUCCACUGUUCGCUCCAUCCUCCCUCGCCGUUCCACCUACUGACUUCUUCUUCUUCUUCUAAUCUGAUUUGUAUCAGAACCCAUUUCUCCCCACACUCAUCCAUCUUUUACCACCACCAUCAGCCUACUAUGCGUCUUCCGUUACUCACCGUCACACGACCGCCACCAUAAGCCAUCCGACCCCUACACCUCCUCUGUCAUCCGAUAUCCACCGCCUCUUUGCUAGCACCGCCACCAGACGUUAAUCAAAUACGAGUGUCCCCAAUUGACUGACCCCGCCUCUACGACCGUCUUCAUCGCCUCUGUGAAAUCUAGCCGAAGAAGCGUAAGGUUGUAGUAAGUACAUUAAUGGGUUUAUGUGUCUUCGCCACCUCUGAGAAAUCCCGCUCUUCAACUUCAUGCGUUUGAGUCGGUAGAACGCUAAAAGUGAUACCUCCAAAUAUCGUAGACACCUUCCGAUUAAGACAUUUCUUACAACUAGAUUUCAUUAAAGCAUGGGCACUAAAUUUCCAGUUAAGGAAGAUGAUCCUUUUCUGGUUCGAGAGUAACACACGAUGACACGAACAAGUUAUUUGUACAAGGUAAUGACAAUGACACAUAUACCCUUUCUUUUAACACCGAAAAACCAAGUAAUCAAUACCAAAACUUGAAAGCAUUUCAUAUGUUGUUUCGGGGAUGAAGAAUGAAGUA